RNAcentral lists this ribosomal RNA (253 nucleotides) under uncultured bacterium. RNAcentral's name for it is "partial 16S ribosomal RNA". It matches the Rfam family "Bacterial small subunit ribosomal RNA", at positions 524 to 776 of the family's 1533-position model. The record is from RNAcentral.
UACAGAGGUCUCGAGCGUUAGGCGGAAUCACUGGGCUUAAAGCGUGUGUAGGCGGAUCGGUAAGUACCUUGUGAAAUCCCACAGCUUAACUGUGGAACUGCUUGGUAUACUGCCAGUCUUGAGCCAGCUAGGGGCUACCGGAACAAAUGGUGGAGCGGUGAAAUGCGUAGAUAUCAUUUGGAACGCCAAUGGUGAAAACAGGUAGCUGGGGCUGUGCUGACGCUGAGGCACGAAAGCCAGGGGAGCAAACGGG